This is a long non-coding RNA of Gigantopelta aegis, 497 nucleotides long. RefSeq lists it as uncharacterized. The transcript is spliced from 3 exons. Lineage: Eukaryota; Metazoa; Mollusca; Gastropoda; Neomphalida; Peltospiridae. The record is from RefSeq and is a predicted model, not a curated record.
GAAAAUCAAGUUACGGGUGCCUGGUGGACGGACAGUGUCUGAUUUCCGGACACGAGGAGAUGAUUGACGGGAAGGCGUGUACCUGUGAUGAGAAUACCUGGACGUGUACGGAACUGACGACACUUCCGGGGCAGGAGGAAGUCACUACCACGCCCAACCCAUGUGCAGGAUGUGCUACAUCAGACGGGCGAUGUUACAAGAAGGGCGACAUGUACGACUAUGAUCCGCAGUGUGUUUGUGAUGGACUGUUCUUUAUCUGUGGCUAAUGCCGUCAAAUAUCGUCUCAGUUUCACUGUAUUCCUCGAACAAAUCGCAUACUAAAUAUAGGACUUCGAAUUGUUUUUAUCGUGUAAAACAAACAUUUUUUUUUUAUCGAAUUGGAAAUCCCUUUCAGUAUUGCAUAACAAUUACUUAUUGCGACAAGAGGUAUCCUACAAUGUUUUAUGAUACUGUGUACCACUAAGAAACACUUUAUAAAAUAAAUUAAUGUUCUUACA